RNAcentral lists this ribosomal RNA (490 nucleotides) under uncultured bacterium. Its description in RNAcentral is "partial 16S ribosomal RNA". It matches the Rfam family "Bacterial small subunit ribosomal RNA", at positions 30 to 507 of the family's 1533-position model. The record is from RNAcentral.
AUUGAACGCUGGCGGCAGGCCUAACACAUGCGAGUCGAACGGUAACAGGAAGCAGCUUGCUGCUUUGCUGACGAGUGGCGGACGGGUGAGUAAUGUCUGGGAAACUGCCUGAUGGAGGGGGAUAACUACUGGAAACGGUAGCUAAUACCGCAUAACGUCGCAAGACCAAAGAGGGGGACCUUCGGGCCUCUUGCCAUCGGAUGUGCCCAGAUGGGAUUAGCUAGUAGGUGGGGUAACGGCUCACCUAGGCGACGAUCCCUAGCUGGUCUGAGAGGAUGACCAGCCACACUGGAACUGAGACACGGUCCAGACUCCUACGGGAGGCAGCAGUGGGGAAUAUUGCACAAUGGGCGCAAGCCUGAUGCAGCCAUGCCGCGUGUAUGAAGAAGGCCUUCGGGUUGUAAAGUACUUUCAGCGAGGAGGAAGGGAGUAAAGUUAAUACCUUUGCUCAUUGACGUUACCCGCAGAAGAAGCACCGGCUAACUCCGUG